RNAcentral lists this ribosomal RNA (319 nucleotides) under uncultured bacterium. RNAcentral describes it as "bacterial SSU rRNA". It matches the Rfam family "Bacterial small subunit ribosomal RNA", at positions 29 to 375 of the family's 1533-position model. The record is from RNAcentral.
AACGAACGCUGGCGGCAUGCCUAACACAUGCAAGUCGAACGAAGCCUUCGGGCUUAGUGGCGCACGGGUGCGUAACACGUGGGAAUCUGCCCUUCGGUUCGGAAUAACAGUUAGAAAUGACCGCUAAUACCGGAUGAUGACGUAAGUCCAAAGAUUUAUCGCCGAAGGAUGAGCCCGCGUAGGAUUAGGUAGUUGGUAGGGUAAUGGCCUACCAAGCCGACGAUCCUUAGCUGGUCUGAGAGGAUGAUCAGCCACACUGGGACUGAGACACGGCCCAGACUCCUACGGGAGGCAGCAGUGGGGAAUAUUGGACAAUAGG